GACGAACGCUGGCGGCGUGCUUAACACAUGCCAGUCGAACGGAAAGGCCCUGCUUUUGUGGGGUGCUCGAGUGGCGAACGGGUGAGUAACACGUGAGUAACCUGCCCUUGACUUUGGGAUAACUUCAGGAAACUGGGGCUAAUACCGGAUAGGAGCUCCUGCUGCAUGGUGGGGGUUGGAAAGUUUCGGCGGUUGGGGAUGGACUCGCGGCUUAUCAGCUUGUUGGUGGGGUAGUGGCUUACCAAGGCUUUGACGGGUAGCCGGCCUGAGAGGGUGACCGGCCACAUUGGGACUGAGAUACAGCCCAGACUCCUACGGGAGGCAGCAGUGGGGAAUAUUGCACAAUGGGCGGAAGCCUGAUGCAGCAACGCCGCGUGCGGGAUGACGGCCUUCGGGUUGUAAACCGCUUUCGCCUGUGACGAAGCGUGAGUGACGGUAAUGGGUAAAGAAGCACCGGCUAACUACGUG
This 468-nucleotide ribosomal RNA is filed under the name uncultured bacterium. RNAcentral describes it as "partial 16S ribosomal RNA". It matches the Rfam family "Bacterial small subunit ribosomal RNA", at positions 28 to 507 of the family's 1533-position model. The record is from RNAcentral.